Cyclopterus lumpus (lumpfish) is the source of this 2866-nucleotide RNA transcript. It is a transcript of the gene named spinster homolog 1 (Drosophila), with no coding region annotated. The transcript is spliced from 12 exons. Lineage: Eukaryota; Metazoa; Chordata; Actinopteri; Perciformes; Cyclopteridae. The record is from RefSeq and is a predicted model, not a curated record.
GCAUAAGAAGUCAUGUGAGCUGCGCAGCGGAAGUUCACUCAGAUCCAACAUGGCGGAGCAGCAGAAUUGUCAUCUCUGAAGUAAACAGUCGUUUUAAAACGGUGUUCACGAGGAAACCGUUCCGUGUAUCGUUUGUUGCCGAACCGUAAACCGUCGUUAUGUGUCGCGAAUAACGUCCACGGUAGAAGACGACAUUUAGCAGAAGAAGCAGAAGAAGCGUCACCCAGCAGCGGCGGCCAUGUCUCUGGGCGAGACCGCGGCGGACUCGGCGCCGUUCUUCUCCGACGACAGCGAGGCGGAGGAGGCGGGCGGCGGCGCGGUGGCUCAGCGGACGGCGGAGGAGGAGUCGCCCAGCGGCGUGUCGAAGGCCCGAGCGCUGCUGACCGUCCUCGUCCUCUGUUACAUCAACCUGCUCAACUACAUGGACCGCUUCACCGUGGCAGGCGUUCUCCCCGACAUCGAGCACUAUUUUGGGAUCAAUGAUGAGAAGUCCGGUCUGCUUCAAACGGUUUUCAUCUGCAGUUACAUGUUCUUGGCUCCGGUCUUCGGUUACCUUGGCGACCGGUGCAACAGGAAGUACAUCAUGAGCUUCGGCAUCGCGUUCUGGUCUCUGGUGACCCUCGCCAGCUCCUACACCCCCAAAGAGCACUUCUGGGUUCUGCUGGUGACUCGAGGUCUGGUGGGCAUCGGCGAGGCCAGUUACUCCACCAUCGCUCCCACCAUCAUCGCCGACCUCUACGUGAAGCGCCAGAGGACCAACAUGCUCUCCGUCUUCUACUUCGCCAUCCCCGUCGGCAGCGGUCUCGGGUACAUCGUGGGCUCACAAGUCGGUGCUGCAGCUCAGGACUGGCACUGGGCUCUGAGGGUGACUCCGGGUCUGGGUCUGCUCGCCGUGCUGCUGCUGCUCUUCGUGGUCCAGGAGCCGAAGCGAGGCGGCGUUGAGGACCGCCCGGAGCACCACAUGCAGCGGACCGGCUGGCUGGAGGACGUGCAGGCGCUCAGCAGGAACUACAGCUUCGUGUUGUCCACCUUCGGUUUCACGGCGGUGGCCUUCGUCACCGGCUCUCUGGCUCUUUGGGCGCCGACGUUCCUCUUGAGAGCGGCCGUCUUCACCGGGAAGAGGCCUCCCUGUGUGGAGGGGAACUGCGCCUCCUCUGAAAGUUUGAUUUUCGGCGUGAUCACCUGCGUGACCGGCGUGCUGGGCGUGGCCAGCGGCGUGCAGCUGAGUCGGCAGCUGAAGACGAGGACGGCCAAAGCCGACCCGCUGGUCUGCGCCGCCGGGCUGCUCCUCUCGGCUCCUUUCCUCUACCUCGCCAUCGUCUUCGCUCAGGCCAGCACCACUGCCACUUAUGUCUUCAUCUUCCUCGGGGAGACCUUCCUGUCCAUGAAUUGGGCCAUCGUGGCCGACAUCCUGCUGUACGUCGUCGUUCCGACUCGUCGCGCCACAGCCGAAGCGUUUCAGAUCGUCAUCUCACAUCUACUGGGAGACGCUGGGAGCCCCUACCUCAUCGGAGUGGUGUGUGUGUGUGUGUGUGUGUGUGUGUGUGUGUGUGUGUGUGUGUGUGUGUGUGUGUGUGUGUGUGUGUGUGUGUGUGUGUGUGUGUGUGUGUGUGUGUGUGUGUGUGUGUGUGUGUGUGUGUGUGUGUGUGUGUGUGUGUGUGUGUGUGUGUGUGUGUGUGUGUGUGUGUGUGUGUGUGUGUGUGUGUGUGUGUGUGUGUGUGUGUGUGUGUGUGUGUGUGUGUGUAUACAUGACACUAAAUACAAUCUACACACGUUAUUAUAUGGCUUUAUUAUUUUAGGCAGUACAACAAAGAUCCCCUAAUAAUAAAUACAUUAUUUUUAUUUAAUUUGACGAAACAUAUUUAUUUAUUUUAAAAGGAUAAACUCCUUCAGAUGCACAACAUAAAUAAAUAUUUGUAAUAAAUGAAGAACUUACAGAAGAGCGUCAUCUGCACGCGAUAACAAAUAUAUGAACUUGAUAACUUACUCUUUGAAGAAAUAACCUAAAUAAAUAAUCUGUAUACAAAACAUUAGAAUGAUUACUAUAAUGAAUGAUCCAACGAUGCCGUGAUAAUUGAUGGACGGUACCUGCGUGGUGUGUCUCAGGUGUCGGACUCUCUGAAGCAGACCGAGUCCUUCUUGUGGCAGUUCCGCUCGCUGCAGCUCUCCCUGCUGCUCUGCUCCUUCGUGGCCGUGAUCGGAGGAGGCUUCUUCCUCGCCACCGCCCUCUUCAUCGAGAAGGACCGCCACCGGGCCGAGAACUACGUCGCCUCAGACGACGAGCCCAUCGUGGUCCCAAAGAGCGGUCGGUCCACCCGGGUCCCGGUCUCCAGCGUUCUGAUCUGAUCCGGUUCUGCGUCUCCGGACCUCGUUGAUUGUUUUUAGGACUCUCGGCCACGCAGAAGCUUUCAGGACGUGUUCGGUUUUAAAUUCUUGAAAUUCUACUUUUUUUAUUAUAUAAUUUUACACGGAGACAACUUGAGGGACGUUUUUUUUAGACUCAAAAGGACCCGAUCGCCUCUGAACGGAUCAAUAUCUCCUCCUCUCCGCCUGGCUGGUCUGGGAUCAGCCGGAGGAACCAGUUUCAUAAACGGCUUUAAUAUUCAGAAUCGUGUUUUACGUUUGAAUUAAAACACUAAUAUUCUCACCAGUCGUCCAGCUAAUGGAAGAUGAAGAUCAGAGACUCGUCAUAUUUAUCUUUUUAUCUCCUGCAGUUUCAAAUGUUUUUGCUUCCGUGCUUCACCAAGUCGAGCAGAACGUGAAUCCAUAUUUAAGAGAAACACUUAGAAAUGAACGUUUGUUAACCUCAAAUUACUUAAGCAGAAUAUCUUUUUUUGUGAACUAUUAAAUGGGAAUGAACUUGUCA